Molecule: transfer RNA, 77 nt
Filed under: Clostridiaceae bacterium
Lineage: Bacteria; Bacillati; Bacillota; Clostridia; Eubacteriales; Clostridiaceae
Also listed under: 1 other name
Description: tRNA-Val
Rfam family: tRNA
About the family: Transfer RNA (tRNA) molecules are approximately 80 nucleotides in length. Their secondary structure includes four short double-helical elements and three loops (D, anti-codon, and T loops). Further hydrogen bonds mediate the characteristic L-shaped molecular structure. tRNAs have two regions of fundamental functional importance: the anti-codon, which is responsible for specific mRNA codon recognition, and the 3' end, to which the tRNAs corresponding amino acid is attached (by aminoacyl-tRNA synthetases). tRNAs cope with the degeneracy of the genetic code in two manners: having more than one tRNA (with a specific anti-codon) for a particular amino acid; and 'wobble' base-pairing, i.e. permitting non-standard base-pairing at the 3rd anti-codon position.
Source: RNAcentral
GGACACUUAGCUCAGUUGGCUAGAGCACCUGCUUGACGUGCAGGGGGUCAGGGGUUCAAGUCCCUUAGUGUCCACCA